GGCAAAUAAAUGAAAGAUGCUGUUUACAGAAGUUACGCACUUGUUUCUACCCUCCGUUUUCUUCAGAGUGUUUGUGAAUUAACAAAUCAAAUAUGUUAAGUGUUUGCUGAAAGAGGAGGAAACAUUCUGUCUAACGCUCGGAGCGAAACAAAAACGAAAUAAUCAGAUGUUUCUUUGAAAGUUACAUCCUAGAAUGUUACUCGUAGUGAUGGUUCUGCAGCCUCUAAAAAGGCUACCAUAUGAUCUCGGCACCGACGCGCCAAGCCAACUGUAACCAGGAAGUAAACAUGCAGAUAUCGCCAUUACCAUAUCCAGAAAUCCAGAGUAUCUCACUUCAACGCUCCAAAAGUGAAGCGAGUAAAAGAACCAAAGUAUACCGUACUUUUUGGGUGGAUUUUGUACUUUCUUGAAGAAUAGUUUGUAUCCGGCCCUUUGGAAGACGUGCAUCGUAUUUUUGGAAUGAAUUUAGUACUUUCUUUGACCAAAGAAAUGUUGUUACCCUGUAUAACAGCUCUCAAUAAAAAUAAAGCGGCAUGUAA
This is a long non-coding RNA of Aedes albopictus (Asian tiger mosquito), 539 nucleotides long. RefSeq lists it as uncharacterized. The transcript has 2 exons. The record is from RefSeq and is a predicted model, not a curated record. NCBI's taxonomy places the organism in Eukaryota, Metazoa, Arthropoda, Insecta, Diptera, Culicidae.